UCUGGGUCAAUGAUGUUAUAGUAAAUCUGCGUUAUCUAUCUGUAAGUCCCAAAAGGAUUGAAGAUGACUUAACCUACUGAGGCCCUGA
Molecule: small nucleolar RNA, 88 nt
Organism: Magnolia sinica
Lineage: Eukaryota; Viridiplantae; Streptophyta; Magnoliopsida; Magnoliales; Magnoliaceae
Product: small nucleolar RNA snoR27
Exons: 1
Source: RefSeq, a predicted model, not a curated record